Molecule: long non-coding RNA, 3663 nt
Filed under: Salvia miltiorrhiza (redroot sage)
Lineage: Eukaryota; Viridiplantae; Streptophyta; Magnoliopsida; Lamiales; Lamiaceae
Description: long non-coding RNA (SMIL_LNC007631)
Source: RNAcentral
ACACUUGUAGGUGUGAAUGCCAACAUUUAUACUAUCCUGGACCUUUCCAAAAAAGUUCCUUGCAUAAGGAAAUUAGGAGUUCAAAUCGAGCUAACGCCUUAUGAUGACCAUGACGACCUUAUCAGUUACUUUGGUUGUGUUUCAACACUUGAAAGUUUGAAGAUAUUGAAAUGUAGUAUCAUAAAUCCUGUGGUGAAGUACGGUUAUGCAUUUCCUAGUUCAUUGUUAACUUUUCCAGGUGUAUUGAAAAAGUUACAUUUGAGUGGCAUGUGUUUUUCUUGGGAACACAUGGAUGUAAUCGGCUCUUUGCCAUUUCUUGAAGUGCUCAAAUUGCGAGCCUACGCCUUUCGGGGUCCAAAGUGGGAAGCGCGAGAGGGAAGUUUUAUGAAAGUUAAGUUUCUUCUAGUUAAAGACAGUGAUUUGGUGCAAUGGAAACCAAAAUUUGGAAGCUUCCCUGAUCUUGUGUGCCUAAGCAUGAAACAUUGCUACAAACUAGAAGAGAUCCAUUGGCCGUCUAAAAUUUCAUUCGGAGUGAUUGAAUUAAGGAACUGCAAUCCUGUAGCUUUGACUUGUGCUAAGCAGUUACAACUGGGAAGAUAUGCUUCCAUUGAUGUUACGGCCACUUCUUCUUUCGACGAGAAACCCAUUGCUAUCAAGUUUACAAGGUUAGUAUUGCAACUGCUGAUCAAUUUUUGAAUAUGGGAUUUCAAAUUCUAAUCAUUCUCAAAUUAUACUUUAGUUUACAUUUUGAUGCUAUAAAAUAUUUUCUUCUGGUCAAAGUGUUUUACUUUGCAACCUUUGUUUUUCUUAUUAAUAAGUCUAUAGAUGAGAAAUUUCACAAGUAAUUAAAAUGAGGGAGGUGUUUCUAUAAUGUGUGUGGGUGUGUGUAGGUUCAUUGUGGGUUGCUACAACUUUGACACAAACACAUUUAUUUAUUUUCACACCCUAUAUUUAUCUGUUAAUUUUCAGGCAUGGGUUUGAAAGAUUGAGACAGAAAGGUGAGGCACCAUAUUCUCCAUUCCCACUCUCAGUCUUUGUAUUAUUAGAUUGUCAUCUCAAUUUAAGAAUUAUGACUUACUAUUUUGGAUUGUGUUGAAGAAUUGUGACUGCCUAUUUUGAAUUGUGACUAGUAUAAAUGUGACUGAAGGAAGCUAAUCUUUUGAUAUGAACAAUUUUUGCUUUGUUUUGGUAUCACAUGUCAUCAUUAGGUUUAAUUAAGUACCAAUAAUAAUAAUUUGUAGCUGUUUACAAAAUGAAACCAGAUAGAAUGUUAAUGUAUAUUCAAUGAAUCAAUAUAUAUAUUAUUCUAAAUAUAUUUUAUUGGAUAUAGAUAUUUAUUUAUAAGUCUUAUCAAAUGGCUACAGAUUUAUAUCAAAUAGAUUUAGUAUAAUAUUGAAUGAAUUAAUAUAUUCCUAUAAAUAGAUUUAAUAUAAUAUUUUGUACUCAAGACACUUUUUCUAUUAGUAUAGAUAGAUUAAAUUUGUGAUUUAAUUUGAUUUGUAUUCAAACUAGCUCAGUCUUAUAGUCUUAUUAUGGUAUAGAUUGAUAUGCCUAAAGAAUUUCAUGAUGUGUUUGUUUUAAAUACAUAAACUUUACACAGUUUUGGUUUUUCCCAAAAUAAAUAAAAGUUUGUUCUAAAUACAUAAACUUUCAUAAUUUUUGGAAUUUCCCAUAAAAGUCAAUUCAGACAAAAUUGAAUCUGGCGUGACGCUGAAUUUUGCUGACGUAGAAGAUAUAUAUGAUGUUGUAUACUAUAAAACUUGGAUAUUUUAAUUAUUGUGAAAUAAAUUGUACCAAAUUAAACCUUUAAGAUAUUACACGACAACAAAAUCCGAUUCUAAGACAUAUUCAAUUUUAUGUGAAUUGACUUUCGUGGGAAAUUUCAAAAUGUGUGAAAGUUUGUGUAUUUAGAACACUUUUUUAUUUGUUUUGGGAAAAACCAAAAAUUGUGUAAAGUUUGUGGAUUUAAAACAAAUUAACCCAAAAAAAAUUGUGUAUUCACCUCGUGAUACCACAGAUGCUGUGGGUGUUCAUGCUGCUGAUGUUGAUGAAGAAGGCUCCAUUGAUGAAGAAGGCUCCUUUGAUGAUGAAAGCUCCAUUGAUGAAGAAGGCUCCUUUAAUGCUACCGAGUCCAAAGAUGAUGAAUGAUGAGAAUUUAUGAAUUCAGUCAUUUAAGAUGCAUAUUGUACAUUAAUUUCCACAUUUUUGGUUCCCAUUGAUUGUUUAGUGAUCGAUUUGAUGAGAUUAUUGAUUGAAGAUGUGGAAUAUCUCAUCAAGAAUUAUAUGUGUAGAACAGUUUGAGAUGUGAGUAAUGAAAUUUUAAAGGUUUUUCUUGAGGUAGAAUUGGCUUAAGAUGGGUUCUGUUCUGUUUUUGGUAGAGGCGAGUGUGAAAAGUCUGCCUCUUUGCAUAUAAAAAGAAAUUAUUUUAAUGAAUGAGUAUAUUUUAUGAGUGUAAAUUUAUAUUUCAUUUCAUAGUAAUAUUUAUUAUUUUAAUAUAUUUUUUGAAUUAAUUAUCGUAUAAUUUUGUAGAAGUAUAAUUUUGUAGAAUUCAUAAAAUUGAAAACAAAAUCAUGUAAAUUAGUACUCCCUCCGUCCCACGAAUCUUGACACGUUUGGUUUCGGCACGGGAAUUAAGGAGUUGUAGAUUAGUAUUUUAAGUGUGUAGUUAAUAAAGUAUAAAAAUGAUAAAGUAGGAGAGAGAGUUUAAUAAUUAUUACUCCCUCCGUCCCACCAUUUUAGUCCCCUCCCACUUUUCACACAUAUUAAGAAAAUGCAUUUAAUUUUUAUAUUUUUAUCUUUUAUACCCUUAUUUAUUAUUUUCACACAUCCUUUUCACAUUUAAGUGAAGCAUUAAAUAAGGUUAAUUUAGUAAAAACAAUAUUUUUAUAUAGUAUUAAUUAGAAAAGUGGACUAUCUUUUUGGGACAUCUCAAAAUGGAAUAAGGGACUAAAAUAGUGGGACGGNGAAAUUAGGAGUUCAAAUCGAGCUAACGCCUUAUGAUGACCAUGACGACCUUAUCAGUUACUUUGGUUGUGUUUCAACACUUGAAAGUUUGAAGAUAUUGAAAUGUAGUAUCAUAAAUCCUGUGGUGAAGUACGGUUAUGCAUUUCCUAGUCCAUUGUUAACUUUUCCAGGUGUAUUGAAAAAGUUACAUUUGAGUGGCAUGUGUUUUUCUUGGGAACACAUGGAUGUAAUCGGCUCUUUGCCAUUUCUUGAAGUGCUCAAAUUGCGAGCCUACGCCUUUCGGGGUCCAAAGUGGGAAGCGCGAGAGGGAAGUUUUAUGAAAGUUAAGUUUCUUCUAGUUAAAGACAGUGAUUUGGUGCAAUGGAAACCAAAAUUUGGAAGCUUCCCUGAUCUUGUGUGCCUAAGCAUGAAACAUUGCUACAAACUAGAAGAGAUCCAUUGGCCGUCUAAAAUUUCAUUCGGAGUGAUUGAGUUAAGAAACUGCAAUCCUGUAGCUUUGACUUGUGCUAAGCAGUUACAAGUGGGAAGAUAUGCUUCCGUUGAUGUUACGGCCACUUCUUCUUUCGACGAGAAACCCAUUGCUAUCAAGUUUACAAGGUUAGUAUUGCAACUGCUGAUCAGUUUAUGAAUAUGGGAUUUCAAAUUCUAAUCAUUCUCAAAUUAUACUUUAGUUUACAUUUUGAUGCUAUAAAAUAUUUU